UGGCAAAUGGGUGGGUUUGGUUGGAUUUGGUUUGGUUGAAAAUGGUUUGAACAAAAAUGGGUUGGGUUUCAAACCACCCAUAUUUUAUGUGGGUAAAUAUGGGUUGGGUGAUAAAUGGCUGGGUUGGUUAUGGGUUAACCCAUAUUAUACAAGUGUAUUAUUUUUUAUUUUUUAUUUUUAAAUAAGGUCAACGUGGGACCCAGUGACUAUUUUAUUACUUUAUCCAAGCUGUCCAAACAUAAAACGAAAAGGCUACAUCUAAAGACAAAACAAAACAAAAAUAAAAUUGUUCCCCCAAAAGAGUAAAGUUGAACCAACAGAGAUGGUAAGUUUGCUCCGUCAGAGGUGUCUCCGUCGGUGAACUAUCCAUGGUUUCUGGUGUUCUCUGUGUGUAUUCCAUUGUUGUGAGCUCCUAUGAAGUUGUUGGAAGCUCAAAUUCGACAUCUGAUGUUGGUGUGAAGUAAAGCCAUUGUUGUUGCAGAUCAAUCUUCGUUCUUCAGGGAACUCGGAUCGCUACCCUUUGGGUGCGCUCUGGGCAAACCCCUCUCCGCCCGGAAACCGCAGGAGAUGUAAACCGCACUGGGAAAGCCUCGUGCUACGACCUUAGGAGAUUAUUGGCGAGGGAAAUCGAUCCCAAGUCUCUCAUUUGGGAAAACAUUCACUGGACCAACUCAGUCACCCUUGCGGGUAUAUUGAUCAUGUUAUCUCUCCUCAAUAAAUAUUUUUUAUAUAUCUGUGUUAACUCCAUCAAUGAAAUACUCCCUCUUACAUGAUGUAAUUAAUACAGGGUAAAAUGGGAAAAAAUACUAAAGUAAAAAAUAAUGGUAAUCACAAGACUAUAUUUUUCUGACUUUUUCUAACACUUGUGUACGCAUGGAGCAUGCUAGAUAGAAUGUUCAACUUUCACAUAAUCAUAUUAAACAAUUUUUGUGCAAUUGAAAUAGUACUUGUCCAUGAGACCAUAAGAUCUACGUGAUUUCUCUCUUUAACUUUUUUAACAUGUAUAUACACAUGUAGCAUGCUCUAUAAUGUACAGCUUUCAAAUAAUCCAAUUAAAAA
Lycium ferocissimum is the source of this 1059-nucleotide long non-coding RNA. RefSeq lists it as uncharacterized. The transcript has 2 exons. NCBI's taxonomy places the organism in Eukaryota, Viridiplantae, Streptophyta, Magnoliopsida, Solanales, Solanaceae. The record is from RefSeq and is a predicted model, not a curated record.